UAUGUGAUCGUCUCUCGCAUAUCAAUAAGCGGAGGAAAAGAAACUAACAAGGAUUCCCCUAGUAACGGCGAGUGAAGCGGGAAGAGCUCAAAUUUGAAAUCUUAAAGGGUUUCCCUUUACGAAUUGUAGUUUAAAGAAGUGUUUUCUGUUGAGGUUUUGGUAAAAGUUCUUUGGAAUAGGACAUCAUAGAGGGUGAGAAUCCCGUAUUUGACCUUUACUUUCAACUUUGUGAUACACUUUCAAGGAGUCGGAUUGUUUGGGAAUGCAGUCCAAAAUGGGUGGUAAAUUUCAUCUAAAGCUAAAUAUUGGCGAGAGACCGAUAGCAAACAAGUACCGUGAGGGAAAGAUGAAAAGAACUUUGAAAAGAGAGUUAAACAGUACGUGAAAUUGUCAAAAGGGAAGCGUUUGACACCAGUGUUGUUUUUCUGAAAAUCAAUUAAAGAACUGUUUAUGCUAAGUUGUUUAGACUUUAUCAGCUAACUGUUUAGUUUUGAGCUUUUCUUUAAUGCACUUUUCAGUUAACAAGUCAACAUCAAUUUCUUUUGCUGUAAAAAAGCUUGAGGAAGGUGGCUUGAGAUUCGUCUUAAGUGUUUAUAGCCUCUUGCCUAUGCAGUCGGAGAGAUUGAGGUCUGCAGCGUAGAUCCUUCGGGGCUAAAUGCAUUUGUGCUAAGUUAUAGCAUUUUAUAGACAACUUGCUGACUAUGAUUUGUCUUGUAGCUUACUCGCUUAUGUUAUUUUACCUACGCUUAGGAUGUUGACGCGCGUGUGUGCGUG
Molecule: ribosomal RNA, 774 nt
Filed under: uncultured Neocallimastigales
Lineage: Eukaryota; Fungi; Neocallimastigomycota; Neocallimastigomycetes; Neocallimastigales
Description: partial large subunit ribosomal RNA
Rfam family: Eukaryotic large subunit ribosomal RNA
Source: RNAcentral